GAUGAAGAACGUAGCGAAAUGCGAUAAGUAAUGUGAAUUGCAGAAUUCAGUGAAUCAUCGAAUCUUUGAACGCACAUUGCGCCCGCCAGUAUUCUGGCGGGCAUGCCUGUUCGAGCGUCAUUACAACCCUCAGGCCCCCGGGCCUGGCGUUGGGGAUCGGCGGAAGCCCCCUGCGGGCACAACGCCGUCCCCCAAAUACAGUGGCGGUCCCGCCGCAGCUUCCAUUGCGUAGUAGCUAACACCUCGCAACUGGAGAGCGGCGCGGCCACGCCGUAAAACACCCAACUUCUGAAUGUUGACCUCGAAUCAGGUAGGAAUACCCGCUGAACUUAAGCAUAUAAUAAGCGGAGGA
Molecule: unclassified non-coding RNA, 352 nt
Filed under: soil metagenome
Description: partial contains 5.8S ribosomal RNA, internal transcribed spacer 2, and large subunit ribosomal RNA
Rfam family: 5.8S ribosomal RNA (bases 1-120)
Source: RNAcentral